GAGAGAGGAGGCAAGCGUUAUCCGGAAUUAUUGGGCGUAAAGCGUCCGUAGGUGGUUUGGCAAGUCUGGGGUUAAAGCCCGGAGCCUAACUCCGGAUCGGCCCUGGAAACUGCCAGACUAGAGUAAGGUAGGGGUUGCGGGAAUUCCCGGUGUAGCUGUGAAAUGCGUAGAUAUCGGGAAGAACACCAGUGGCGAAAGCGCGCAACUGGGCCAUUACUGACACUGAGGGACGAAAGCUAGGGGAGCUAAUGGG
Molecule: ribosomal RNA, 253 nt
Filed under: uncultured bacterium
Lineage: Bacteria
Description: partial 16S ribosomal RNA
Rfam family: Bacterial small subunit ribosomal RNA
Source: RNAcentral